GUCUUCGGACGCUGACGAGUGGUGAACGGGUGAGUAAUACAUCGGAACGUGCCCAGUCGUGGGGGAUAACUACUCGAAAGAGUAGCUAAUACCGCAUACGAUCUGAGGAUGAAAGCGGGGGACCUUCGGGCCUCGCGCGAUUGGAGCGGCCGAUGGCAGAUUAGGUAGUUGGUGGGAUAAAAGCUUACCAAGCCGACGAUCUGUAGCUGGUCUGAGAGGACGACCAGCCACACUGGGACUGAGACACGGCCCAGACUCCUACGGGAGGCAGCAGUGGGGAAUUUUGGACAAUGGGCGAAAGCCUGAUCCAGCAAUGCCGCGUGCAGGAUGAAGGCCUUCGGGUUGUAAACUGCUUUUGUACGGAACGAAAAAGCUCCUUCUAAUACAGGGGGCCCAUGACGGUACCGUAAGAAUAAGCACCGGCUAACUACGUGCCAGCAGCCGCGGUAAUACGUAGGGUGCGAGCGUUAAUCGGAAUUACUGGGCGUAAAGCGUGCGCAGGCGGUUAUGUAAGACAGAUGUGAAAUCCCCGGGCUCAACCUGGGAACUGCAUUUGUGACUGCAUGGCUAGAGUACGGUAGAGGGGGAUGGAAUUCCGCGUGUAGCAGUGAAAUGCGUAGAUAUGCGGAGGAACACCGAUGGCGA
Molecule: ribosomal RNA, 645 nt
Filed under: uncultured bacterium
Lineage: Bacteria
Description: bacterial SSU rRNA
Rfam family: Bacterial small subunit ribosomal RNA
Source: RNAcentral